CCCUUAGACGCUCCGGGCGGCACGCGCGCUACAUUGAAUUAUAGAGGUUGGAACACGUUCUGUAAGGAUUUGUUCACCAUAAAUUUAUUUGGAAAUGGGAUAGGCAAUUGCAAUUUUUUGUUUUUAACUUGGAAUCCCUUGUAGUCACGGUUGAGAUUAUCGUGCUGAAUACGUCCCUGCCCUUUGUACACACCGCCCGUCGCUCCUACCGAUCGAAGAGUUAGGUGAAUUGUUUUGAUCGAUAAGAUUUGACUAUGGUCAACUCUCGUUGUGAAAUUCUGUGAAUCUGACUGUUUAGAGGAAGGAAAAGUCGUAACA
Molecule: ribosomal RNA, 318 nt
Filed under: uncultured eukaryote
Lineage: Eukaryota
Description: partial 18S ribosomal RNA
Rfam family: Eukaryotic small subunit ribosomal RNA
Source: RNAcentral